CAUGUAGGGGGCAAGCGUUGUCCGGAUUUAUUGGGCGUAAAGAGCUCGUAGGCGGCUCAGUAAGUCAGGUGUGAAACCUCCAGGCUCAACCUGGAGACGCCACCUGAUACUGCUGUGGCUAGAGUCCGGUAGGGGAGCGUGGAAUUCCUGGUGUAGCGGUGAAAUGCGCAGAUAUCAGGAGGAACACCAGCGGCGAAGGCGGCGCUCUGGGCCGGAACUGACGCUGAGGAGCGAAAGCGUGGGGAGCGAACAGG
This 254-nucleotide ribosomal RNA is filed under the name uncultured bacterium. RNAcentral describes it as "partial 16S ribosomal RNA". It matches the Rfam family "Bacterial small subunit ribosomal RNA", at positions 524 to 776 of the family's 1533-position model. The record is from RNAcentral.